RNAcentral lists this ribosomal RNA (1462 nucleotides) under Enterobacter cancerogenus. RNAcentral describes it as "bacterial SSU rRNA". It matches the Rfam family "Bacterial small subunit ribosomal RNA". Lineage: Bacteria; Pseudomonadati; Pseudomonadota; Gammaproteobacteria; Enterobacterales; Enterobacteriaceae. The record is from RNAcentral.
AUUGAACGCUGGCGGCAGGCCUAACACAUGCAAGUCGAGCGGUAGCACAGAGAGCUUGCUCUCGGGUGACGAGCGGCGGACGGGUGAGUAAUGUCUGGGAAACUGCCUGAUGGAGGGGGAUAACUACUGGAAACGGUAGCUAAUACCGCAUAACGUCGCAAGACCAAAGAGGGGGACCUUCGGGCCUCUUGCCAUCAGAUGUGCCCAGAUGGGAUUAGCUAGUAGGUGGGGUAACGGCUCACCUAGGCGACGAUCCCUAGCUGGUCUGAGAGGAUGACCAGCCACACUGGAACUGAGACACGGUCCAGACUCCUACGGGAGGCAGCAGUGGGGAAUAUUGCACAAUGGGCGCAAGCCUGAUGCAGCCAUGCCGCGUGUAUGAAGAAGGCCUUCGGGUUGUAAAGUACUUUCAGCGGGGAGGAAGGCGAUAAGGUUAAUAACCUUGUCGAUUGACGUUACCCGCAGAAGAAGCACCGGCUAACUCCGUGCCAGCAGCCGCGGUAAUACGGAGGGUGCAAGCGUUAAUCGGAAUUACUGGGCGUAAAGCGCACGCAGGCGGUCUGUCAAGUCGGAUGUGAAAUCCCCGGGCUCAACCUGGGAACUGCAUUCGAAACUGGCAGGCUAGAGUCUUGUAGAGGGGGGUAGAAUUCCAGGUGUAGCGGUGAAAUGCGUAGAGAUCUGGAGGAAUACCGGUGGCGAAGGCGGCCCCCUGGACAAAGACUGACGCUCAGGUGCGAAAGCGUGGGGAGCAAACAGGAUUAGAUACCCUGGUAGUCCACGCCGUAAACGAUGUCGACUUGGAGGUUGUGCCCUUGAGGCGUGGCUUCCGGAGCUAACGCGUUAAGUCGACCGCCUGGGGAGUACGGCCGCAAGGUUAAAACUCAAAUGAAUUGACGGGGGCCCGCACAAGCGGUGGAGCAUGUGGUUUAAUUCGAUGCAACGCGAAGAACCUUACCUACUCUUGACAUCCAGAGAACUUWSCAGAGAUGSUUUGGUGCCUUCGGGAACUCUGAGACAGGUGCUGCAUGGCUGUCGUCAGCUCGUGUUGUGAAAUGUUGGGUUAAGUCCCGCAACGAGCGCAACCCUUAUCCUUUGUUGCCAGCGGUCCGGCCGGGAACUCAAAGGAGACUGCCAGUGAUAAACUGGAGGAAGGUGGGGAUGACGUCAAGUCAUCAUGGCCCUUACGAGUAGGGCUACACACGUGCUACAAUGGCGCAUACAAAGAGAAGCGACCUCGCGAGAGCAAGCGGACCUCAUAAAGUGCGUCGUAGUCCGGAUUGGAGUCUGCAACUCGACUCCAUGAAGUCGGAAUCGCUAGUAAUCGUAGAUCAGAAUGCUACGGUGAAUACGUUCCCGGGCCUUGUACACACCGCCCGUCACACCAUGGGAGUGGGUUGCAAAAGAAGUAGGUAGCUUAACCUUCGGGAGGGCGCUUACCACUUUGUGAUUCAUGACUGGGGUG